GACGAACGCUGGCGGCGUGCUUAACACAUGCAAGUCGAACGUGAUUUUUGUGGAAAUUCUUUCGGGAAUGGAAAUGAAAUGAAGGUGGCGAACGGGUGAGUAACACGUGAGCAACCUACCUUACACAGGGGGAUAGCCGUUGGAAACGACGAUUAAUACCGCAUGAGACCACAGAAUCGCAUGAUAUAGGGGUCAAAGAUUUAUCGGUGUAAGAAGGGCUCGCGUCUGAUUAGCUAGUUGGAAGGGUAAAGGCCUACCAAGGCGACGAUCAGUAGCCGGUCUGAGAGGAUGAACGGCCACAUUGGAACUGAGACACGGUCCAAACUCCUACGGGAGGCAGCAGUGGGGAAUAUUGCACAAUGGGGGGAACCCUGAUGCAGCGACGCCGCGUGAGCGAAGAAGGUUUUCGAAUCGUAAAGCUCUGUCCUAUGAGAAGAUAAUGACGGUAUCAUAGGAGGAAGCCCCGGCUAAAUACGUG
Molecule: ribosomal RNA, 478 nt
Filed under: uncultured bacterium
Lineage: Bacteria
Description: partial 16S ribosomal RNA
Rfam family: Bacterial small subunit ribosomal RNA
Source: RNAcentral